GGUCCGAGUUGUAAUUUGUAGAGGAUGCUUUUGGUGAGGUGCUUUCCGAGUUCCCUGGAACGGGACGCCAGAGAGGGUGAGAGCCCCGUACGGUUGGACGCCGAACCUCUGUAUAGCUCCUUCGACGAGUCGAGUAGUUUGGGAAUGCUGCUCUAAAUGGGAGGUAAAUUUCUUCUAAAGCUAAAUACCGGCCAGAGACCGAUAGCGCACAAGUAGAGUGAUCGAAAGAUGAAAAGCACUUUGAAAAGAGGGUUAAAUAGCACGUGAAAUUGUUGAAAGGGAAGCGUUUGCGACCAGACUUUUUCCAGGCGGAUCAUCCGGCGUUCUCGCUGGUGCACUCCGCCUGGUGGAGGCCAGCAUCGGUUUCCUUAGGGGGAUAAAGGCCUGGGGAACGUAGCUCCUUCGGGAGUGUUAUAGCCCCUGGCGUAAUACCCCUCGGGGGACCGAGGAUCGCGCUUUUGCAAGGAUGCUGGCGUAAUGGUCGUCAACGACCCGUCUUGAAACACGGACCAAGGAGUCGAACAUUUGUGCGAGUGUUUGGGUGUCAAACCCUCACGCGUAAUGAAAGUGAACGGAGGUGAGAGCCCUCGCGGGUGCAUCAUCGACCGAUCCUGAUGUCUUCGGAUGGAUUUGAGUAAGAGCAUAACUGUUCGGACCCGAAAGAUGGUGAACUAUGCGUGGAUAGGGUGAAGCCAGAGGAAACUCUGGUGGAGGCUCGCAGCGGUUCUGACGUGCAAAUCGAUCGUCAAAUCUGCGCAUGGGGGCGAAAGACUUAUCGAACCAUCUAGUAGCUGGUUACCGC
RNAcentral lists this ribosomal RNA (802 nucleotides) under Daldinia brachysperma. Its description in RNAcentral is "partial large subunit ribosomal RNA". It matches the Rfam family "Eukaryotic large subunit ribosomal RNA", at positions 135 to 961 of the family's 3401-position model. Lineage: Eukaryota; Fungi; Ascomycota; Sordariomycetes; Xylariales; Hypoxylaceae. The record is from RNAcentral.